ACGCUCGACACCUACGGGAGGCAGCAGUGGGGGAUAUUGCGCAAUGGGGGAAACCCUGACGCAGCAACGCCGCGUGAAGGACGAAGGUUUUCGGAUUGUAAACUUCUUUUGUUAGGGACGAAGAAAUGACGGUACCUGACGAAUAAGCUCCGGCUAACUACGUACCAGCAGCCGCGGUAAUCUGAGCGGGCUGGCAAGGC
RNAcentral lists this ribosomal RNA (200 nucleotides) under uncultured bacterium. RNAcentral's name for it is "partial 16S ribosomal RNA". It matches the Rfam family "Bacterial small subunit ribosomal RNA", at positions 328 to 539 of the family's 1533-position model. The record is from RNAcentral.